CUUGGCCUUCCCGGUGCUCUGCAGGAUGUGCACCAAGGCGCAGGCCACCUCCUCCUUGCUCUUGACGCUGAGCACGGGCUCGAGGACGGCGCAGAGCAUGCGGUAGUUGUUGGUGACGUACUCGGCGAACUCCUUGUAGAGCUCCAUGGGGAGGAUGCUCAUGGUCUGGAAGCGGCUCUUGACGCGCAGGGCCGGGCAGCCGGCCUUGCUCUUGCUGCCGCUGGGCUGGCUGAGCGGGUACCACUGCUCGGCGAAGUGCCGCCCGGUGACGCUGGCGAUGGGGAUGCUCACCAUCCCCACGUAGUUGCUCUUGUCCUUCUUGCGCUUCUUGUCCGUGUCCUUGUAGAGGUGCAGGCGGAUGGUGCGCACGGCCGGCAGGUUGUUGAACUCGAAGUGCUCCCCCCAGAAGACGUUGUCGGUGCGCGCCUUGCUGGUGGUGCGGGCGUACAGCAUGUCGUCCAGGCACAGCUCGCAGUAGUAGCGCUUCUUGGGGGGCAGGUCCCGCGCCUCGAUCACCCACAGCUUCAGCACGUUGUCCACGCGGCGGCUGUUGUCCUGGGGGGACCGGGAAGGGCCUUGUCACCGGGGGAACGGCCGGGGGUGGGACGUGGGGUCUCCACCAGUCGGCCAACCCCACCAGUUGGCGCUCCUCAUCCCCACCAGUUGACCCUCUCCACCCCUACCAGUUGACCAUCCCCACCAGUUGACCACCCCCACCAGCUGACCAUCCCCAACUCCACCAGUUGACCAUGCCCAUCCCCACCAGUUGACCAUCCCCACCAGCUGACCAUGCCCAUUCCUACCAGUUGACCAUCUCCAACUCCACCAGUUGGUGCUCCCCAUCCCCAUCAGUAGACCCUCUCCACCCCUACCAGUUGGUCAUCCCCACCAGUUGACCAUCUCCACCUCCACCAGUUGACCACCCCCACCAGUUGACCAUCCCCAUCAGUUGACCAUGCCCAUCCCCACCAGUUGACCAUCCCCACCAGUUGACCAUCCCCAACUCCACCAGUUGGUGCUCCCCAUUCCCACCAGUUGACCAUGCCCACCUCCACCGGUUGACCAUCCCCACCAGUUGACCAUGCCCAUCCCCAGCAGUUGACCAUGCCCAUCCCCACCAGUUGACCACCCUCACCAGUUGACCCUCUCCAACCCCACCAGUUGACCACCCCCACCAGUUGACCAUCCCCAACUCCACCAGUUGACCAUGCCCAUCCCCACCAGUUGACCACCCCCACCAGUUGACCAUGCCCACCUCCACCAGUUGACCAUCCCCACCAGUUGACCAUGCCCACCUCCACCAGUUGACCAUCCCCACAACCUGACCCUCCCCAUCCCCUCCAAGUAACCAUCCCCAACCCCA
Molecule: long non-coding RNA, 1363 nt
Filed under: Numida meleagris (helmeted guineafowl)
Lineage: Eukaryota; Metazoa; Chordata; Aves; Galliformes; Numididae
Description: lncRNA (ENSNMEG00000000175.1)
Source: RNAcentral